RNAcentral lists this long non-coding RNA (739 nucleotides) under Oryza sativa Indica Group (long-grained rice). RNAcentral describes it as "lncRNA OsMH63_02G014350". Lineage: Eukaryota; Viridiplantae; Streptophyta; Magnoliopsida; Poales; Poaceae. The record is from RNAcentral.
AUGCAGAUAUGCUGGGGAUGGAGUAAGUAUAAUGGAAGAACAAUAGGCCUUUAUUUGAUGGCUUUUAGCUUUAAGAUGCUCAAUGAGGAGGGUCAAGGAGAUUUUGUUCUUUUAUUUGCCAUUGAUUGGCCUUUGGUUGAUAUAUCUGAUUUCAUGUACUCCACAGGCACAACAAAAAGCUAUCAAGUUGCUUUCUUGUGUGCUUUUGAUGAAGUCGCAGACUUUUAUCGGUCCCAGCUUAUCACAAGUGAAACUCGACGUGGCAUAGUUGUUGCCACGGCAUUGGAGGUUGAUAAAGCUUCAAAUUGCCUAUCCACCAUAGCUGCAACUACAAUGAUGUUUUUGCACAAUCGUGACUACCAGCGGUAUGCUUUGUUGGAAGAGGUGAGAAACUCCUUGUUGAAAGAACCAACCCUACAUGACGCCAUUAAGAUUGCUGUGACCUAUAGGAAGCAAGAGCUACUGCAAUUGGAAGAACAAAACAACGAUCCAGCAGAGCCAGAAGUGGUGAUAGUUGAAGAUGAUGAAGUGGUGAUUGAACCAGUGCCAAAAAAGAAGCGCACUGGCAAUAAGGGAUUCACUAUCCCUGAGGAGUUGGGGAGGGGGGGGCUAAUGCGAUUGGUCCCCCUCCCCCGCUCCGCACUCCUCCCACUUCUCCCCUUCCUCCUCCCCUUCUUCUCUUCCUAUUACAGUACACCACAAAAAAAAUUUAAAAAAACAAAAAGUUAGAAAAAUUUAU